AGAGUUUGAUCAUGGCUCAGGACGAACGCUGGCGGCGUGCUUAACACAUGCAAGUCGAGCGGUUCUUUAUUCAAGCUUGCUUGGGUAAAGGAUAGCGGCGAACGGGUGAGUAACGCGUGGGUGACCUGCCCGGGAGAUCGGGAUAACAGUUCGAAAGGGCUGCUAAUACCGGAUGAUAUCUUUUCUUUUCGGAGGGGAGAUCAAAGCGUUUAGCGCUCUCGGAUGGGCCCGCGUCCCAUUAGUUAGUUGGUGGGGUAAUGGCCUACCAAGGCAGCGAUGGGUAGCCGGUCUGAGAGGAUGUUCGGCCACACUGGGACUGAGACACGGCCCAGACUCCUACGGGAGGCAGCAGUGGGGAAUUUUGCGCAAUGGGGGAAACCUUGACGCAGCGACGCCGCGUGAGUGAUGAAGGCCUUCGGGUUGUAAAGCUCUGUUGGGGGGGAAGAUAGUGACGGUACCCCCUGAGGAAGCCCCGGCUAACUACGUGCCAGCAGCCGCGGUAAGACGUAGGGGGCGAGCGUUGUCCGGAAUUACUGGGCGUAAAGGGCGUGUAGGCGGCCUUUCAAGUCGGCUGUGAAAUUCCUUGGCUUAACUGAGGGUGUGCAGUCGAAACUGAUGGGCUUGAGUGCAGGAGAGGGUGGUGGAAUUCCCGGUGUAGCGGUGACAUGCGUAGAUAUCGGGAGGAACACCGGUGGCGAAGGCGGCCUCCUGGUCUGUUACUGACGCUGAGGCGCGAAAGCCGGGGGAGCAAACAGGAUUAGAUACCCUGGUAGUCCCGGCCGUAAACUCUGGGUACUAGGUGUAGGGGGCUUCGAUGCCUUCUGUGCCGUAGUUAACGCAUUAAGUACCCCGCCUGGGGAGUACGAUCGCAAGGUUGAAACUCAAAUGAAUUGACGG
This 897-nucleotide ribosomal RNA is filed under the name uncultured bacterium. RNAcentral's name for it is "bacterial SSU rRNA". It matches the Rfam family "Bacterial small subunit ribosomal RNA", at positions 8 to 916 of the family's 1533-position model. The record is from RNAcentral.